Molecule: ribosomal RNA, 547 nt
Filed under: uncultured bacterium
Lineage: Bacteria
Description: bacterial SSU rRNA
Rfam family: Bacterial small subunit ribosomal RNA
Source: RNAcentral
UAGGGAAUUUUUCACAAUGAGCGAAAGCUUGAUGGAGCAAUGCCGCGUGAACGAUGAAGGUCUUUAAGAUUGUAAAGUUCUUUUAUUUGGGAAGAAUGACUUUAGCAGGUAAUGGCUAGAGUUUGACUGUACCAUUUUGAAUAAGUGACGACUAACUAUGUGCCAGCAGUCGCGGUAAUACAUAGGUCGCAAGCGUUAUCCGGAUUUAUUGAGCGUAAAGCAAGCGCAGGCGGAUUGAAAAGUCUGGUGUUAAAGGCAGCUGCUUAACAGUUGUAUGCAUUGGAAACUAUUAAUCUAGAGUGUGGUAGGGAGUUUUGGAAUUUCAUGUGGAGCGGUGAAAUGCGUAGAUAUAUGAAGGAACACCAGUGGCGAAGGCGAAAACUUAGGCCAUUACUGACGCUUAGGCUUGAAAGUGUGGGGAGCAAAUAGGAUUAGAUACCCUAGUAGUCCACACCGUAAACGAUAGAUACUAGCUGUCGGGGCGAUCCCCUCGGUAGUGAAGUUAACACAUUAAGUAUCUCGCCUGGGUAGUACAUUCGCAAGAAUG